AAAGGAAUUGACGGGGGCCCGCACAAGCGGUGGAGCAUGUGGUUUAAUUCGAUGCAACGCGAAGAACCUUACCAAGAUUUGACAUCCCUUUGACAGGGCUAGAGAUAGCCCCUCCCCUCGGGGCAAAGGAGACAGGUGGUGCAUGGUUGUCGUCAGCUCGUGUCGUGAGAUGUUGGGUUAAGUCCCGCAACGAGCGCAACCCUUACCCUUAGUAGCCAUCAUUGAGUUGGGGACUUUAGGGGGACUGCCGUGGAUAACACGGAGGAAGGCGGGGAUGAGGUCAAAUCAUCAUGCCCUUUAUGUCUUGGGCAACACACGUGCUACAAUGGCUGCAACAAAGUGAAGCAAGCCGGCGACGGCGAGCCAACCACAAAAAAGCAGUCUCAGUUCGGAUUGCAGUCUGCAACUCGAGUGCAUGAAGCUGGAAUCGCUAGUAAUCGCGAAUCAGCAUGUCGCGGUGAAUACGUUCCCGGGCCUUGUACACACCGCCCGU
RNAcentral lists this ribosomal RNA (493 nucleotides) under uncultured bacterium. Its description in RNAcentral is "bacterial SSU rRNA". It matches the Rfam family "Bacterial small subunit ribosomal RNA", at positions 903 to 1397 of the family's 1533-position model. The record is from RNAcentral.